Apis mellifera (honey bee) is the source of this 1841-nucleotide long non-coding RNA. RefSeq lists it as uncharacterized. The record is from RefSeq and is a predicted model, not a curated record. NCBI's taxonomy places the organism in Eukaryota, Metazoa, Arthropoda, Insecta, Hymenoptera, Apidae. The transcript is spliced from 5 exons.
UCUUCGUUUACAGUUGCUUCGUAACGAUCGUCUACGAACGCGGGAGGAUUGUCGUUAUAGUCUUUUAGUUUGACGUGCACAGAAGUUCUUGCGAAAUGUUUUGGAUUUCCAUUGUCGGUGGCGACUACCUAAACACGGAUGGGAAACAAGAUUGAUACGAAGAAGCAGAAGAUUGAAAGGAUGUAACAGGAUUUCUACUGCAUUGGAGCUGGACUUAAUAACCACUUACCCGUGUCGUUAUCUCUGGAGCUGACUCUCAACACGGAAGUGCCGAACGGCGCUGCCUCGGAUACCGAGAUGUUUAAUGAUGACUCGGAUAAUUGAAGGAGUUGCUCGGUUUCGCGGACACCAAGAAGAGACACUGAAUGCAAGUCACGUGGUGAACACGUUUAUACAAGACCGUUGGAUACCGUGAAUGAAUUUGCGGAUGCUACCAGAAAUGUCUGCACCUUUGAACAUGUUGUGCAACUUAACAGGUUGACUCCAUUCAUUUGAUUGAUUUUUCUCUUUGGAAUAUUAUGGAGAAAAAUUACUGUAAUCGUGCAUAGUCAUUGACAAGCGGUUAGUUGUCGUGAAAAAUGACGGACAUCGUGCACGAGCCGUGCAAUUAUGGAAGCUGUGUAUGGCAGACGAAAGUCUCGGACCGCCCAGGCGGCCAUUUCGUACGAUAUUCUGAUUUUCCGAUGUUUAACUGGAUGUGGAUUUAUCGCGCGAGAAUCAACUCAAAAAGAAUCAACCGAAGGAAACUUAUAGUUACUGUUCCUUUUCGUGCAUGAAAAUCAUCAUAGAAAGAAGAGAGAGAGAGAAGAGAAAGAAAGAGAGAAAGAGAGCAGUGCAGUAGCGUGAUACAGUGCAACACAGCAGACCGAUAGAACUAGUAUUUUUUAUACUCACAAGGACCAUUGUUACUGUCGGGGGCUGCGAAACAGGGAGAUACAACAACACUUUAAUUUCUAGUUUAAUCAGAUAAGCAUUCGAUAAAGAAAUAAAUUAAAUAAGGGAGAGAUUGGUAAAGAGAGGAGAAUUAAUUAAUUAAAAUAAAUAAAUAAAUAAAUAAAUGAAUGAAAUAAACUACUAUAAAUAAAAAUGGUAAUAAUAAAUUGGAACGUAAAUUUGAAUUAUCGUGUGGGGGGGGUGUGAAUUAAAUCGAGAUAUAAAUAUAAUUAUUUACGAUUAAUUUUCACGCUUACGAACAAAUUAACCGUAUAAUUGUAUAACUGCAGCUUGUGUUACGUGCGAUACAUUCCAACAUCCCCAAUUUGCUACUGUUGUCUCACCACUACUACACCGUGACUUGAUUAGAAUUUAGUCACCGAAUACCAUGUAUACAGGUAGGGGGAACCAACAUUCGUCAUUCGUUAAAGUAGAAAGCGCGGUUUGUUUGUUUGCUUGUUUGUGUAAAUCAUUUUAUAUAUUUUUAACCCUUUCAUUGCUGUUGCCGUUCUCAAAAAUUUUGGAAAGGAUUUUCUUCGCUAUCGUAUAUAGUACACGUAUAUAUAAAAUUGAUAAAUCGUUACGAUAAAAUUGCCUUACAGCCAUAAACGAUUACACAAAAGAUACAAAGUAAAUUAUUUCGCGUGUUGGAUCGAUUAUCGCUGUAAACGUAAGAGAGACCAGGGGAAAAACUCGGUCUCUCGUCAGCCCGUUCAGUGAACAUUUUCAGUAAUGAAAAGGUCGAAAAUUAUUAUUAUAUAUAUGUGUCCCACAGCCGAGUUGGAAUGAGAAUCCUCAGGAGACGUUUCAUUCGGGACUGGGGAUUUAGGACGCAACGUAUUCUGAUCGCUAUUCGAAUGUAACACACGUUCGCCGCUUUUUCGUGACGCAAUUGAAGAAAAAAAAAA